This 253-nucleotide ribosomal RNA is filed under the name uncultured bacterium. RNAcentral's name for it is "partial 16S ribosomal RNA". It matches the Rfam family "Bacterial small subunit ribosomal RNA", at positions 524 to 776 of the family's 1533-position model. The record is from RNAcentral.
UACGAAGGUGGCGAGCGUUACUCGGAAUUACUAGGCGUAAAGGGCAGGUAGGUGGUCUGAUAAGUCUGUUGUGUAAGCUCCCGGCUUAACUGGGAGAGGUCAACAGAUACUGUCAGGCUUGAGUAUAGGAGAGGAUACUGGAAUUCCCGGUGUAGCGGUGAAAUGCGCAGAGAUCGGGAGGAACAUCAAUGGCGAAAGCAGGUAUCUGGACUAUUACUGGCACUCAGCUGCGAAAGCUAGGGGAGCAAACAGG